Molecule: ribosomal RNA, 483 nt
Filed under: uncultured bacterium
Lineage: Bacteria
Description: partial 16S ribosomal RNA
Rfam family: Bacterial small subunit ribosomal RNA
Source: RNAcentral
UUGAACGCUGGCGGCAGGCCUAACACAUGCAAGUCGAGCGGAUGAAGGGAGCUUGCUCCUGGAUUCAGCGGCGGACGGGUGAGUAAUGCCUAGGAAUCUGCCUGGUAGUGGGGGAUAACGUCCGGAAACGGGCGCUAAUACCGCAUACGUCCUGAGGGAGAAAGUGGGGGAUCUUCGGACCUCACGCUAUCAGAUGAGCCUAGGUCGGAUUAGCUAGUUGGUGGAGUAAAGGCCUACCAAGGCGACGAUCCGUAACUGGUCUGAGAGGAUGAUCAGUCACACUGGAACUGAGACACGGUCCAGACUCCUACGGGAGGCAGCAGUGGGGAAUAUUGGACAAUGGGCGAAAGCCUGAUCCAGCCAUGCCGCGUGUGUGAAGAAGGUCUUCGGAUUGUAAAGCACUUUAAGUUGGGAGGAAGGGCAGUAAGUUAAUACCUUGCUGUUUUGACGUUACCAACAGAAUAAGCACCGGCUAACUUCGUG